ACUCAUGGUCAUACUCAUUCAUUCGUGCUGUCCUGCGUCAUCCACAACCAUCAUCCUAGUCUGACAGGGAACACCCUUGAGGAUUAAUUAGAUCUAGGUGUUGGUUAUGAUGGACACAGAGAUUUGUAUAGAGUUAGACACAGAGGAGGGACUCUUGACCCUUCAGUCCAGUUUCACUCAAAGCUCAGGAGCAGUAGAGCUACUUACCUGCUGCUGACCAGAGGGGCUUCAGUCCUCCCUGUCAGGCCAGCCUCACACAGCAGAGACAGACAGCAUGGUUCACCCCAUCAUGGUUGGCAUUGUCACUGCCAACACCUCCCUAGCUAUCGUCCUCUGGAACUUCCUGUUGUCUCAAGUUUUCUGCAGGAAGAUCAAGGAUGCACCCAACCCUGAGGAGGUCGUCCCAGUCUGAACUGGGUCCUAGGCCCACACCCAGAUGAAGAGGAAGGUGCCUGUGAGCCUACAGGAGUGGAGAAGGAGGAGAGGUGGAAGACUGCCGUCGAGGCAAAGAGGUGGAUGACCAUCAAAAUAGAAGAGGAGAUGAAGGGGGUCCUUCCAUUAGUCAAGUCUCCCAGCAUGUAAAAAACAAAGAAUCAACUUCUCUCCAGAAAACAGAUUCCCAUCUCUAUUAGGCUAAAUGUUAUUCUGACCCCAAUUGACUAAGUUCCCUUGAUAGCAAUACACAGUCCACUCUAUCCUGCUCUCCGCUCUGUCCUCAUUUCCUCCCAGGUUGGCUCCCAAGCAGCCAAAUCCCAUUUCUGUUACUUCUAAACUAAUCCCGUUUUGAUACAAAUGAAAGGAAUCUGCAACCCCAAUCUAUUUACAGCAUCAGAGGCAUAGGAUAAACUAAGUUACUGUAUAUACAAACAAUGUAACUGUUUUACCAUUUUCGGGUACUGUAUGGGAUAACAAAUGUAGACAGUUUGAACAAUCCAAUGGUGCAGAAACAUUCAUUUGUGGCAGUGCUCCCUGAAAGGUUCCAUUUCCUUUUGACCCCCGUAGAAAUAACAGUUAGAUCUUUACUAUGAGAUGUCAGCUCACAUUAAUACCAUGGGACUGAGCAGCACCUGGACAAACACACACAGCACUCAUCACUUUUGCUAUAGUGUUGAGCUUUAUGUGUUGCUGUAACGCUGUAGACGUCAAUACAUCUGUUUGCUUGUGGAUAAGGUGGCCAAAGAGGAUGACCCUUGUUCCAAUAAAGGAAAGACUGGACCUGUC
Oncorhynchus gorbuscha (pink salmon) is the source of this 1221-nucleotide long non-coding RNA. RefSeq lists it as uncharacterized. NCBI's taxonomy places the organism in Eukaryota, Metazoa, Chordata, Actinopteri, Salmoniformes, Salmonidae. The transcript is spliced from 2 exons. The record is from RefSeq and is a predicted model, not a curated record.